RNAcentral lists this long non-coding RNA (3078 nucleotides) under Salmo salar (Atlantic salmon). Its description in RNAcentral is "lncRNA (ENSSSAG00000120321.1)". Lineage: Eukaryota; Metazoa; Chordata; Actinopteri; Salmoniformes; Salmonidae. The record is from RNAcentral.
CUCUCAGAAGGCGCCAGAACGGGGAAUGAUGACUCUGCAGUCCCUGUGCGAAAAACAGUAGGGCUUUUGGAAAGUGGUCGUUCUGAGAACAAUGACACGGGCAUUAAAAUUGAUUUUAAACAGCGCUUGACAUGCUUCGAAGUACGGUAAUGGAAUAUUUUGAUUUCUUUUGUCACGAUACGCGCCGGCGCGUCACCCUUCGGAUAGUGUCUUGAACGCAAGAACAAAACGCAGCUAUUUGGAUAUAACUAUGGAUUAUUUGGAACCAAAACAACAUUGGGUGUUGAAGUAGAAGUCCUGGGAGUGCAUUCUGACGAAGAACAGCAAAACGACCCUCUGCGACAGAUCAAAUCCUGGUGAAAGAAUCCAUCAUGAGGAAGGCAGUAACCCUGGCUGGACCCUGCCAUACUGACUGAUGAAUGACUGACUGGCUGACUCUCAGAGGGGGUCGGUGGGGUCGCCUCUGUCUUUCCUCUUCUUGUGAAAGGAGACGUGAAGUAGGGCCACGUACUCCACUUCAACAUGUUACAAUUGAAUAGUACAUCAAGCAAAUGACACAGCAUGCUCUGAACAUCGCAGCAUCAGGUUCAUUGUAGGUGAGGUGAUAAUCAUAAUGCACAUAAAAUGAAUGUGUGCAUGUGGGUUGUUACCUCUGUGUUUGUAUGUGCCCGUGUGCGUCUGUGUACAAUACUGUACAAUACAAAUGUAACGAAUUCAUAUUUGAGGACUUUGCCCUAAUUUAACCGUACUGUAAUGUUGACCAGUUUCAGAGCAGUAAGUCAUGAUUUAGAGACUUUCAUCAUUAUGCAUUUAGCACAGAACUGUGCACAGUAUUCAGUAUUGGUUUAUCUCUGUUUCCCAACUGCAUUAUAACAUCCUAAGGCUCUAGCCCCUUCUGUUUCAAGAUCAUCUGCAAUUCAGUCAAUUCUAUGUCAAUUCCUUCCCACUGGGCACACACUGGAUGAAUCAUUGUUGUUUCCACGUAAUUUCAAAUAAAUUACGUUGAACCAACGUGGAAAAUAUAUUGAAUUGACGUCUGCGCCUAGUAGGUUUUCUCGAAGGGACAUUCUGUUCUAGUCUGUUCUAAUUUUCCUUACAUUCAAAAUACAUAAAAAUGCCCCCUUAUCGAAAUUCUAUAAUGUACUGUAUGUAUUUAGACAAGAGAGCUGUGGUAAACUGGUUCUAUACUCUGUGUCAGAUCACAGCAGGCUGAGGAAAUCAUUGUCAACCAAGAUCAUCCAGGUACAAUUCAUCCACAUCCCACAGGAUAGUAGUGCUAAUGCAUUACACGUACUGCCUCUGGAGUCUCUCGCUCUCUCCUUUUCUCCUUCUACCUCCUAUACCUCUUCCACUCUCUUUUUUUCUCUCACUCCUGCAUAUACCAAUCACUAGGAGAGAGUUGGAGGAAGGGGGAAAUGGGAUGGAGUCCUCCGUCUGUAAUGAGAUAUGUGUUCCAUAACAGCUGACCAGUCAAAUUGAACAGGCCUCCUCACCCAGGAUGCUUAAUUACUUGGUGAGAAACACAUUACUGUGCGCCACAGGACACAGGGAUAUAGGCGUGAGGGAAACCUCUGGGGCAGGGUUAUAAUCACACAGAUCACAAAGGGCAGGAGCGGAGCCCAAAAACUGAGGUUUUGUGUUGCUAUAUACGCUCUACACCCUGCACUUACUUUGCACAACUACAGUAUGUAUAAAAAACGUGGCCAUUAAAGGAGAAUUUCACACUGGCUCUGUCAUUACUAUAUUAACAACAUUAUGUUUUUCUCAUAAACAUCACAAUUAUCCAAACCACAAGCUAGAACUAGCACAUUUUCAUUUCACUGGUAGAAUCGGGAAGUUUCGACUCUGUGUAUUGGUUUGCUCAUAGUGAACCACAAAGUCGUUCAUGGAGAAUGCUGAUACUGCCCAUUAGGUAGAGGGUCCGUGCCCACAAACUUGAAUAAUGGCAUUGUUUACUUCAAACGACCAACACACAGUAAUCUCAGAACUUCUCUAGGCAAGAUUUUUUUGAACACUUUUGUUUUUCACUGUUUGUCAUCAUGCCCGUUUGGUGUUUUGUGCCUGGCUGUGCUAAUUACAAACAAGUGCAAACGUGUUAUCUUUCACCAUUCUACCUACAAGAGAUUCACCCUGAUUCUGCCAGUGGCUUGAAGCUAUCAAGAAUGAUGCGUUGAUCAAAGACUAUCAAAUGGAUCUUCAGGCUGAACUCAUUUCGACGACAGCUGAGAAAUGAUGCAACACCAGCAAUGUUUUUCUUUCACAACAAAACGGAAGAUUCUCAAUUAGAGAACCUAACGUUAGCUAGCUUGCUAGCCUAGCUGGGUAAGUUAGCUAGCUUACUAACGUUACAGUCUGGUAUUGAACUCUGAAAGCCAUCAGCUAAAUCAUACUAGCUAUCUUUUGGUAUACACACUGUCAAUCAAUUUUGCCUAUGCCAUGGUAGUUACUGCUAGACUGGUUGCUACCUUCAGCAGAGUAAACAUGUUUGUUUGUUCGUUCUAUCUUUGACUGUCGUUAACUAACGUAAGCUAGCUAAUGUUACCAAAUGUUACCGACCGGCUCGAUUCGGUCUUGUGUAGCAAAAAUUGUGUUUUUUUACAUUGGAUAAAAGUAGAGACUCAGAGCAAGAAAAUAGUAUAUCAUACACUACAGUUGAGGAACAAUGGGAAAGUAAAUCUGCUUUGAAAGUUUAUCAACUUGUAACCCCACUUUUGAGAAAAUGGCCCUUGAAUGUUUUGGAACACCUUCUGGAGAGCUCUUCUUUGUCUACACCCAUGCAGCAUCGUUCACACCCUCUUAACUUCUUGGGGCUAUGUGGGACGCUAGCGUGCCACCCGUGGUGCACCCUAUCAACAGCAGGUGCAUUUCAAGAGCGGCAAAUUUGAAACCAAAUAAAUGUCAAAAUUCAAAUUUUUCAAACAUACAACUAUCUUACACCCUUUGAAAGAUAAACAUCUCCUUAAUCUAACCACGUUGUCCGAUUUCAAAAAGGUUUUACGGCGAAAGCAUAAAGUUAGAUUAUGUUAGGAGAGUACAUUGACAAUAGCUGUGUGUAAUGUUUUGUCAAUUCAAAGACAG